GAUGAACGCUGGCGGCGUGCCUAAUACAUGCAAGUCGAGCGAACAGACGAGGAGCUUGCUCCUCUGACGUUAGCGGCGGACGGGUGAGUAACACGUGGAUAACCUACCUAUAAGACUGGGAUAACUUCGGGAAACCGGAGCUAAUACCGGAUAAUAUAUUGAACCGCAUGGUUCAAUAGUGAAAGACGGUUUUGCUGUCACUUAUAGAUGGAUCCGCGCCGCAUUAGCUAGUUGGUAAGGUAACGGCUUACCAAGGCAACGAUGCGUAGCCGACCUGAGAGAGUGAUCGGCCACACUGGAACUGAGACACGGUCCAGACUCCUAAGGGAGGCAGCAGUAGGGAAUCUUCCGCAAUGGGCGAAAGCCUGACGGAGCAACGCCGCGUGAGUGAUGAAGGUCUUCGGAUCGUAAAACUCUGUUAUUAGGGAAGAACGAAUGUGUAAGUAACUAUGCACGUCUUGACGGUACCUAAUCAGAAAGCCACGGCUAACUACGUG
RNAcentral lists this ribosomal RNA (497 nucleotides) under uncultured bacterium. Its description in RNAcentral is "partial 16S ribosomal RNA". It matches the Rfam family "Bacterial small subunit ribosomal RNA", at positions 28 to 507 of the family's 1533-position model. The record is from RNAcentral.